ACCGAUAGCCUUAGUAGCGGCGAGUGAGCGGCAAAAGCUCAAAUUUGAAAUCUGGCACCUUCGGUGUCCGAGUUGUAAUUUGAAGAUUGUAACCUUGGGGUUGGCUCUUGUCUAUGUUUCUUGGAACAGGACGUCACAGAGGGUGAGAAUCCCGUGCGAUGAGAUGCCCAAUCCUAUGUAAGGUGCUUUCGAAGAGUCGAGUUGUUUGGGAAUGCAGCUCUAAGUGGGUGGUAAAUUCCAUCUAAAGCUAAAUAUUGGCGAGAGACCGAUAGCGAACAAGUACAGUGAUGGAAAGAUGAAAAGAACUUUGAAAAGAGAGUGAAAAAGUACGUGAAAUUGUUGAAAGGGAAGGGUUUGAGAUCAGACUCGAUAUUUUGUGAGCCUUGCCUUCGUGGCGGGGUGACCCGCAGCUUAUCGGGCCAGCAUCGGUUUGGGCGGUAGGAUAAUGGCGUAGGAAUGUGACUUUGCUUCGGUGAAGUGUUAUAGCCUGCGUUGAUGCUGCCUGCCUAGACCGAGGACUGCGAUUUUAUCAAGGAUGCUGGCAUAAUGAUCCCAAACCGCCCGUCUUGAA
RNAcentral lists this ribosomal RNA (571 nucleotides) under Meyerozyma guilliermondii. RNAcentral describes it as "eukaryotic LSU rRNA". It matches the Rfam family "Eukaryotic large subunit ribosomal RNA", at positions 70 to 658 of the family's 3401-position model. Lineage: Eukaryota; Fungi; Ascomycota; Pichiomycetes; Serinales; Debaryomycetaceae. The record is from RNAcentral.